ACCGCAGGCCGCCUUAUCGCCGCGAGCAAUCGGGGAGGAAAGUCCGGACACCAUAGGGCAACAUAGCGGGUAACGCCCGUCGCCGGAAACGGUAGGACAAGUGCAACAGAAAGGAUGUACAGGUAAUGCUGUAGUGAAAUCAGGUAAACUCUAUGUGGUGAAAUUUCAAGUAUAUCAGCGUCAAGGGCUGCCCGCCUGUGCUGAAGGGUAGAAAGAUCGAGCCGUCGGGUAACUGCCGGCCUAGAUAAAUGAUAAGGCUUUCGAAUUUCGGAGGACAGAAUCCGGCUUACAGGCCUGCUUUUUUU
Molecule: RNase P RNA, 305 nt
Filed under: Flavobacterium sp.
Lineage: Bacteria; Pseudomonadati; Bacteroidota; Flavobacteriia; Flavobacteriales; Flavobacteriaceae
Description: RNase P RNA component class A
Rfam family: Bacterial RNase P class A
About the family: Ribonuclease P (RNase P) is a ubiquitous endoribonuclease, found in archaea, bacteria and eukarya as well as chloroplasts and mitochondria.
Source: RNAcentral